AGCGGGAUUAGUAGCAAUACUAUGAGAGCGGCGGACGGGUGCGUAACGCGUAUGUAACCUGCCUUAUGCAGGGGGAUAGCCCAUGGAAACGUGGAUUAAUACCCCAUAGUAUUGAGAGGCCGCAUGGUUUUUCAAUUAAAAUUUCGGUGGCAUAAGAUGGACAUGCGUCUGAUUAGGUAGUUGGUAGGGUAACGGCCUACCAAGCCGACGAUCAGUAGGGGUCCUGAGAGGGUUACCCCCCACACUGGAACUGAGACACGGUCCAGACUCCUACGGGAGGCAGCAGUGAGGAAUAUUGGUCAAUGGCCGGAAGGCUGAACCAGCCAUCCCGCGUGCAGGAAGACGGCCCUAUGGGUUGUAAACUGCUUUUGUGCAGGAAUAAUAUGCCUUACGUGUAGGGUAUUGAAGGUAUUGUACGAAUAAGCAUCGGCUAACUCCGUGCCAGCAGCCGCGGUAAUACGGAGGAUGCAAGCGUUAUCCGGAUUUAUUGGGUUUAAAGGGUGCGCAGGCGGGCUUGUAAGUCAGUGGUGAAAUACUGCCGCUUAACGGUAGGAUUGCCAUUGAUACUGCAGGUCUUGAGUAUGGUUGAGGUAGGUGGAAUGUGCAGUGUAGCGGUGAAAUGCAUAGAUAUUGUACAGAACGCCGAUUGCGGAGGCAGCUUACUAAGCCAUUACUGACGCUGAGGCACGAAAGCGUGGGGAUCGAACAGGAUUAGAUACCCUGGUAGUCCACGCCGUAAACGAUGUUCACUCGCUGUUUGCGAUAUACAGCAAGCGGCUAAGCAAAAGCGUUAAGUGAACC
RNAcentral lists this ribosomal RNA (801 nucleotides) under uncultured bacterium. RNAcentral describes it as "bacterial SSU rRNA". It matches the Rfam family "Bacterial small subunit ribosomal RNA", at positions 65 to 870 of the family's 1533-position model. The record is from RNAcentral.